UACGGAGGGGGCAAGCGUUGUUCGGAGUUACUGGGCGUAAAGCGCGCGUAGGCGGUGCGGUAAGUCAGGGGUUAAAGGCUGCAGCUCAACUGCAGUAAGGCCUUUGAUACUAUCGUGCUAGAGUGUCAAAGAGGAGAAUGGAACUGCCGGUGUAGGGGUGAAAUCCGUAGAUAUCGGCAGGAACACCAGCGGCGAAGGCGGUUCUCUGGUUGACUUCUGACGCUGAGGCACGAAAGCUAGGGGAGCAAACAGG
This 253-nucleotide ribosomal RNA is filed under the name uncultured microorganism. RNAcentral describes it as "partial 16S ribosomal RNA". It matches the Rfam family "Bacterial small subunit ribosomal RNA", at positions 524 to 776 of the family's 1533-position model. The record is from RNAcentral.